Molecule: long non-coding RNA, 2550 nt
Filed under: Agrilus planipennis (emerald ash borer)
Lineage: Eukaryota; Metazoa; Arthropoda; Insecta; Coleoptera; Buprestidae
Description: uncharacterized LOC108735570
Source: RNAcentral
GCUAGUUGCUACUGCUAUAUCAUCUGCAAAUAUAAGCACAGUAAUCUUUUGCCCCUGUACAAUAUCCCUAAAGUUGUCCUACUUCUAAUGAUGUUUAUCGUGUCUUCGAUAUAUGAUUUAAAAACUAGCGGUGACAGUGUGCAACGUAACGACAUUACAAUCGAAUAGAAGCUUAGCAGGGAUUGUUUAUAUUAAUGGGAUAUUUUGCUGAAUAUAAACAUUCUGAAUAUGUAUUUUUACAAAAAAAGUCAAUAUUUAAAAAGGAAUAUAACUAAUUUUACACCGCACUAUUCCUAUGUUCUGGCUGGCAGAUUCCCUUCCUAAUAUUCUACGUUGCUGCUGAAGUUCUACAACUGACUGUUGCUCUUUAUACAAACUAUAUAUCACUCUUCUAUCUCUGCAUCUCAUCCCUACUUUUUUAUGUAUGUUUGACAUCUUGUCAAAUCUUUUUCUAAAUCUCAAAUCCUAUGUACGCACUCUUUUCUUUUCCUAUCGUUUUCUAUAUUGUUAGCUGUAAAUCUAAAAUAGCUUCCCGCAUUCCUUUACUUCUUUUAAUCCCAAAUUGGUCUUUUCCUAACAGUCUUUCCUCCCUUUUUCCAUCCUUCUUUGUACUGCGUAUUCUAGUUAUGAUUUUUGAUGCAUGGAAAGUUAAUUGUUCUAAGUUUCUCGCAUCUAUCCUCCUCUCUCUUUUAUGGUACGGCUAUUAUUAGGUUCCGUUUAUAAUCCUCCGGGACUUUCCCCGUCUCGUAAAUGUGACUAAUUAACCUAAACAUACCAUCUCUAACCUCUUGUCCAACAUGUUUUAAGAUUUCCGCCUGUUUCCAAUCUAUACCUGGUUCUUGCUUAUUCUUUAGGUUUUUCAAUAUUGAAUCAAACUCUUCUCUCAUUAAGGGGGAUCCUAACUCACCUAUCUCCACUCUAUCUUCCUUCUUUAAUAAUGCAUCUGCAAGAAAACAAAAAUUUACCUAAACAUAAGUAAGAGGGCGCUAGCGUUCCAUAGGAGCCAAAACAGCGGCGGAAUAAUGAAGCGACUUCUGUCAAUCUUCAAUAAGGACGAAAUGACUAUUUUAAUCUUAAAGGCGAUGGCGAUCCGAUUCGAAGGACAUUUCGAUGUUACAAAAACUCUGGGAAAAGCAUGCAAGCGAUUGUAUUGGCUACGAAGUAGAAGCAAUGUGGAAAGCUAGUGCAGAAUAUGCGACAUGCGCCACCAGUAAGGGACCGAAGACGAAAAGUCCCGGACGAAUGCAGCAGUACAACGUGGGAGCGCCAUUUGAAAGAAUCACAGUUUAACGUGGCAGGACGUUCCCCAUUUUUUUUUCCGAAAAUUCGGAUCGUUUCACUUAGAAGCCAUAUUUUUUCUAAAAAUAUAUACAAUUUUUCUAGUAUUUGUCCCGCAAAAAAAGUCUAGGGAGAAAUUAUUUUAAAAAAUAAACUAUUUCGUCUGCACCAAUUCAUUAUGCUAUGCAUACAAUAGUGCGAUUCGAAAGUAACCGCAUGAAAACCAGAUACGAUCGACAGUCCAACUAUAUAUUUCAAUAAAAGCAACAAAGUGUGGCUAUACAAUCCAUCAAGACGAAAGGGACGUUGCACGAAAUUACAAUAAACUUAAGGAGGCCUCUACGCCGUUACUUAGAGUAUCAACGUCUUCAAAUGCAAAAGGUAUCUCUGGUCAAAAUGAAGGUCGUCCAUUUUGACGAGCGUUGCUUCUUACAGGGGCAACGUCAGACGUCGGUGAACGUAAGUGAUCAGUGUAGGCAACUAACCAUACGUAAACAUGCGUCAAGAGACGUACAGUGGGUUGCGCCAGUGAUAAAGACAACGCAAAUUAGGAAAAGCGAGGAAGAGAAACAAUUAGUGAUAUUGUAAUUGAUUUCUAAGGUGGUGUUAAAUAGUUAAAUAAACCAGUAUAACCAGCGAACUAUAACAAGUUUAUCUGAAUCUUGUGAUGUUUUCGUGACAGAACCAGAGAAGAGAGCCGUAUACACUGAGCACACUCGCAAAAAAACAACACAAAUUUUAUGCACUGUUAAUGUAAUUAAACAAAUUAAAAAAGAUAAUAACUUUCCGCUAGAAGUGUUAACUUUCCAAGAAUCUCAAAAAAUCUAAAAAUUCAAGAUGAUUUUUUCUGCCGCUAAACUUAUUUUCUAUGCGUGCGCAUUCUUCUUUAGUAAAAUAGACGCGGCUAAUCCAAUAACAUUGUCGCCGCGAGACGUUGGCGUAUCGAAGCUUGCGGGCAUAGUAUCGCCAGUUGGUGGUUGGGGAGAACCUGCCGGCUUGGGGUGAUACCCAAAUAAUCUUCUCUGACAGAACACACCGCGCGGUGUAUCUUCCGAACGUUAUCGAAACUAAUUGAAUAGAUCCGAAAUCAUUUAGAAUAUAAAAAACUGCCAUAUUUCAUUCAUAAUUUUAUUCACAAAAAGGGGUAUGUCCAAAAAAAUGAUAGCAUAGAUUACCGUCUUAGCGAGAGAAUGCAUCAUAUUCGGAAAAAAUCGGAAAUAUUCGGUAGAUUCACCGCGUGAUGUUUUCUGUCUAGAAAACAUCAUUAAAAAU